UAUUCCUGUACUAUGAUAUGACAGAACUGUGGGGACACGUGCAGAGAGCGGAAGCCGGGAAUGGGAUCCCGGUGCAAGCGAGGUACCAGCCGCAUUGGAAAAACCGUGCGGCAAUGGGAAGACGUGAUGCGGAGUGAAGUUUAGUAAUGAAGUCCGUGAGCUGUGCGUCAAGAAAAGCCGCUAUUGUUCAUACCAUACCCGUACCGUAAACCGACACAGGUGGAUGAGGAGAGAAUCCUAAGGCCGGCGGAAGAAGCAUUGUCAAGGAACUCGGCAAAAUGACCCCGUAACUUCGGGAGAAGGGGUGCCUGCGAGAGCAGGCCGCAGAGAAUAGGCUCAAGCAACUGUUUAGCAAAAACACAGGUCUAUGCGAAACCGAAAGGUGAGGUAUAUGGGCUGACGCCUGCCCGGUGCUGGAAGGUUAAGAGGAGAGGUUAGCGCAAGCGAAGCUUUGAAUUUAAGCCCCAGUAAACGGCGGCCGUAACAAUAACGGUCCUAAGGUAGCGAAAUUCCUUGUCGGGUAAGUUCCGACCCGCACGAAAGGCGUAAUGAUUUGAGCGCUGUCUCGACAAUGCAUCCGGUGAAAUUGAAGUACCAGUGAAGAUGCUGGUUACCUGCGCCAGGACGGAAAGACCCCAUGGAGCUUUACUCCAGUUUGGUACUGGGAUCCGGUACUGCAUGUACAGGAUAGGUGGGAGGCUAUGAAUCGGUAACGCCAGUUGCCGAGGAGCCGCUGUUGGGAUACCACCCUUGCAGUAUUGGGUUUCUAACCAGCCGCCGUGACCCGGCGGUGGGACAAUGCCAGACGGGGAGUUUGACUGGGGCGGUCGCCUCCGAAAGGGUAUCGGAGGCGCCCAAAGGUUCCCUCAGGAUGGACGGAAACCAUCCAAAGAGUGCAAAGGCAGAAGGGAGCUUGACUGCGACACCGACGGGUGGGGCAGGUACGAAAGUAGGGCUUAGUGAUCCGGUGGUAUUAAGUGGGAAUGCCAUCGCUCAACGGAUAAAAGCUACCCUGGGAUAACAGGCUUAUCACUCCCAAGAGUUCACAUCGACGGAGUGGUUUGGCACCUCGAUGUCGGCUCAUCGCAUCCUGGGGCUGUAGUAGGUCCCAAGGGUUGGGCUGUUCGCCCAUUAAAGCGGUACGCGAGCUGGGUUCAGAACGUCGUGAGACAGUUCGGUCCCUAUCCGGCGUGGGCGUAGGAUAUCUGAGAGGAGCUGUCCUUAGUACGAGAGGACCGGGAUGGACGGGCCGCUGGUGCACCGGUUAGACUGCCAAGUCUAUAGCCGGGUAGCCCAGCCCGGAAGGGAUAAACGCUGAAGGCAUCUAAGCGUGAAGCCCCCCUCAAGAUGAGAUAUCCCAUCCGAAAGGAGUAAACCCCCUUGAAGACGACGAGGUCGAUAGGGCAGAGGUGGAAGUGUGGUAACACAUGGAGCUGACUGCUACUAAUAGGGUGAGGGCUUGAUC
RNAcentral lists this ribosomal RNA (1465 nucleotides) under metagenome. RNAcentral describes it as "bacterial LSU rRNA". It matches the Rfam family "Bacterial large subunit ribosomal RNA", at positions 1434 to 2925 of the family's 2925-position model. The record is from RNAcentral.